GUGGGGAAUUGUUCGCAAUGGGCGCAAGCCUGACGACGCAACGCCGCGUGGAGGAUGAAGACUUUCGGGUCGUAAACUCCUGUCGAAUGGGACGAACGGAUCAUGGGUUAAUAACCUGUGGUCGUGACGGUACCGUUAAAGGAAGCCCCGGCUAACUCCGUGCCAGCAGCCGCGGUAAUACGGGGGGGGCAAGCGUUGUUCGGAAUUACUGGGCGUAAAGGGCUCGUAGGCGGCCAACUAAGUCAGACGUGAAAUCCCUCAGCUUAACUGGGGAACUGCGUCUGAUACUGGAUGGCUUGGAUUCGGGAGAGGGAUGCGGAAUUCCAGGUGUAGCGGUGAAAUGCGUAGAUAUCUGGAGGAACACCGGUGGCGAAGGCGGCAUCCUGGACCGAUAUUGACGCUGAGGAGCGAAAGCUAGGGGAGCAAACGGGAUUAGAAACCCGAGUAGUCC
Molecule: ribosomal RNA, 451 nt
Filed under: uncultured bacterium
Lineage: Bacteria
Description: bacterial SSU rRNA
Rfam family: Bacterial small subunit ribosomal RNA
Source: RNAcentral